UCGAGAAUCUUCGGCAAUGGGCGCAAGCCUGACCGAGCGACGCCGCGUGCGGGAUGAAGGCCCUCGGGUUGUAAACCGCUGUUGGUUGGGAGGAAAUGCAUGGGGGUUCUCCCCUGUGUUUGACCGAUCUUCAGAGGAAGUCCGGGCUAAGUUCGUGCCAGCAGCCGCGGUAACACGAACCGGACGAACGUUAUUCGGAAUCACUGGGCUUAAAGAGUGCGUAGGCGGCCUGGCAGGUUGGGUGUGAAAUCCCUCGGCUCAACCGAGGAACUGCGCUCAAAACCGCCAGGCUUGAGGGAGAUAGAGGUGAGCGGAACUGAUGGUGGAGCGGUGAAAUGCGUUGAUAUCAUCAGGAACACCUGUGGCGAAAGCGGCUCACUGGGUCUCUUCUGACGCUGAGGCACGAAAGCUAGGGUAGCGAACAGGAUUAGAUACCCCCGUAGUCC
This 446-nucleotide ribosomal RNA is filed under the name uncultured prokaryote. RNAcentral describes it as "bacterial SSU rRNA". It matches the Rfam family "Bacterial small subunit ribosomal RNA", at positions 355 to 796 of the family's 1533-position model. The record is from RNAcentral.